GUUGUAUGGUUAAGUGACUAAGCGUACAUGGUGGAUGCCUUGGCAGUCAGAGGCGAUGAAGGACGUACUAACCUGCGAUAAGCUGUGAGAAGUCGGUAAGAGACGCUAUUACUCACAGAUUUCCGAAUGGGGAAACCCACCCGAGAUAACUCGGGUAUCUGUUAUUGAAUACAUAGGUAACAGAGGCGAACCGGGAGAACUGAAACAUCUAAGUACCCCGAGGAAAAGAAAUCAACCGAGAUUCCCUCAGUAGCGGCGAGCGAACGGGGAUUAGC
Molecule: ribosomal RNA, 275 nt
Filed under: Aeromonas veronii
Lineage: Bacteria; Pseudomonadati; Pseudomonadota; Gammaproteobacteria; Aeromonadales; Aeromonadaceae
Description: partial 23S ribosomal RNA
Rfam family: Bacterial large subunit ribosomal RNA
Source: RNAcentral